GAUGAAGAACGUAGUGAAAUGCGAUAAGUAGUGUGAAUUGCAGAAUUCAGUGAAUCAUCGAAUCUUUGAACGCACAUUGCGCCCCUCGGUAUUCCGUGGGGCAUGCCUGUUCGAGCGUCAUCUACACCCUCAAGCUCUGCUUGGUGUUGGGCGUCUGUCCCGCCUCCGCGCGUGGACUCGCCCCAAAUUCAUUGGCAGCGGUCCUUGCCUCCUCUCGCGCAGCACAUUGCGCUUCUCGAGGGGCUACGGCUCGCGUCCAACAAGCACAUUUACCGUCUUUGACCUCGGAUCAGGUAGGGAUACCCGCUGAACUUAAGCAUAUCAAUAAGCGGAGGA
Molecule: unclassified non-coding RNA, 336 nt
Filed under: soil metagenome
Description: partial contains 5.8S ribosomal RNA, internal transcribed spacer 2, and large subunit ribosomal RNA
Rfam family: 5.8S ribosomal RNA (bases 1-120)
Source: RNAcentral